RNAcentral lists this ribosomal RNA (729 nucleotides) under uncultured bacterium. RNAcentral describes it as "bacterial SSU rRNA". It matches the Rfam family "Bacterial small subunit ribosomal RNA", at positions 771 to 1501 of the family's 1533-position model. The record is from RNAcentral.
AACAGGAUUAGAUACCCUGGUAGUCCAUGCCGUAAACGAUGUCGACCAGCCGUUGGGUGCCUUGAGCACUUAGUGGCGCAGUUAACGCGAUAAGUCGACCGCCUGGGGAGUACGGCCGCAAGGUUAAAACUCAAAUGAAUUGACGGGGGCCCGCACAAGCGGUGGAGCAUGUGGUUUAAUUCGAUGCAACGCGAAGAACCUUACCUACCCUUGACAUCCUCGGAACCCUCUGGAGACAGAGGGGUGCCUUCGGGAACCGAGAGACAGGUGCUGCAUGGCUGUCGUCAGCUCGUGUUGUGAAAUGUUGGGUUAAGUCCCGUAACGAGCGCAACCCCUGUCCCUAUUUGCCAGCACGUGGUGGUGGGAACUCUAGGGAGACUGCCGGUGACAAACCGGAGGAAGGUGGGGACGACGUCAAGUCAUCAUGGCCCUUACGGGUAGGGCUACACACGUGCUACAAUGGCCGGUACAAAGGGAUGCAAGACGGCGACGUGGAGCGAAUCCCAGAAAGCCGGCCUCAGUUCGGAUCGGAGUCUGCAACUCGACUCCGUGAAGUCGGAAUCGCUAGUAAUCGUGAAUCAGAAUGUCACGGUGAAUACGUUCCCGGGCCUUGUACACACCGCCCGUCACACCAUGGGAGUGGACUGCACCAGAAGUGGUUAGCCUAACUUCGGAGGGCGAUCACCACGGUGUGGUUCAUGACUGGGGUGAAGUCGUAACAAGGUAACC